This 301-nucleotide ribosomal RNA is filed under the name uncultured bacterium. RNAcentral's name for it is "partial 16S ribosomal RNA". It matches the Rfam family "Bacterial small subunit ribosomal RNA", at positions 509 to 808 of the family's 1533-position model. The record is from RNAcentral.
CAGUAGCCGCGGUAAUACGUAGGUGGCAAGCGUUGUCCGGAAUUAUUGGGCGUAAAGCGCGCGCAGGCGGAUAGGUCAGUCUGUCUUAAAAGUUCGGGGCUUAACCCCGUGAUGGGAUGGAAACUGCCAAUCUAGAGUAUCGGAGAGGAAAGUGGAAUUCCUAGUGUAGCGGUGAAAUGCGUAGAUAUUAGGAAGAACACCAGUGGCAAAGGCGACUUUCUGGACGAAAACUGACGCUGAGGCGCGAAAGCCAGGGGAGCGAACGGGAUUAGAUACCCCAGUAGUCCCUGUCUCUUAUACC